RNAcentral lists this unclassified non-coding RNA (253 nucleotides) under soil metagenome. RNAcentral describes it as "partial contains small subunit ribosomal RNA, internal transcribed spacer 1, and 5.8S ribosomal RNA". The record is from RNAcentral.
UCUCCGUAGGUGAACCUGCGGAGGGAUCAUUAACACGUUAUCCACGUAACACCCGUGAAUGGUAUCCGAAUCGACGGAGGGAAGCGAGAUUUGGGAUCAAACCCGUUUCUGUCGUUUCUUCUCGGCCGUCACCCUUUUCCAAUUUUAUACCCGAUGAUAACAUAAUGUCCCGGCAACAUUUGAUUGGGUUAACGCCCUUCAAAUAAAAACAAAAACAAAAGCACAACUCUUAGCAACGGAUAUCUUGGUUCUC